UGAUUGUCUUACAUUGGUAGAGGAAUCCUUCUAUUGAAACUUCAGAAAAGAUGAAGGAUAAACCUGUAUACACAAUACAGAAGAAUUGGUAUGAAUCAAUUCCAUAUUGAAGAAAGAAUCGAAUAUCCAUUGAUCAAACCAUUCACUCCAUAAUCUGAUAAAUCUUUUGAAGAACUGAUUAAUCGGACGAGAAUAAAGAUAGAGUCCCGUUCUACAUGUCAAUACCGGCAACAAUGAAAUUUAUAGUAAGGA
RNAcentral lists this transfer RNA (252 nucleotides) under Sinosenecio oldhamianus. RNAcentral's name for it is "partial tRNA-Leu". Lineage: Eukaryota; Viridiplantae; Streptophyta; Magnoliopsida; Asterales; Asteraceae. The record is from RNAcentral.